GUGCUUUGGCAGCACAUACACUAAAAUUGAAAUGAUACAGAGAAGAUUAGCAUGGCCCCUGUGCAAGGAUGACAUGCAAAUUCAUGAAGUAUUCCAUAUUUUU
Molecule: small nuclear RNA, 103 nt
Organism: Puma concolor (puma)
Lineage: Eukaryota; Metazoa; Chordata; Mammalia; Carnivora; Felidae
Source: RefSeq, a predicted model, not a curated record